This 496-nucleotide ribosomal RNA is filed under the name uncultured bacterium. Its description in RNAcentral is "partial 16S ribosomal RNA". It matches the Rfam family "Bacterial small subunit ribosomal RNA", at positions 29 to 507 of the family's 1533-position model. The record is from RNAcentral.
AUGAACGCUGGCGGCGUGCCUAAUACAUGCAAGUCGAGCGAACGGACGAGAAGCUUGCUUCUCUGAUGUUAGCGGCGGACGGGUGAGUAACACGUGGAUAACCUACCUAUAAGACUGGGAUAACUUCGGGAAACCGGAGCUAAUACCGGAUAAUAUUUUGAACCGCAUGGUUCAAAAGUGAAAGACGGUCUUGCUGUCACUUAUAGAUGGAUCCGCGCUGCAUUAGCUAGUUGGUAAGGUAACGGCUUACCAAGGCAACGAUGCAUAGCCGACCUGAGAGGGUGAUCGGACACACUGGAACUGAGACACGGUCCAGACUCCUACGGGAGGCAGCAGUAGGGAAUAUUCCGCAAUGGGCGAAAGCCUGACGGAGCAACGCCGCGUGAGUGAUGAAGGUCUUCGGAUCGUAAAACUCUGUUAUUAGGGAAGAACAUAUGUGUAAGUAACUGUGCACAUCUUGACGGUACCUAAUCAGAAAGCCACGGCUAACUACGUG